UACGGGGGGGGCAAGCGUUGUUCGGAAUUAUUGGGCGUAAAGGGCGCGUAGGCGGCUUGGCAAGUGGAUGGUGAAAUCCCUCGGCUUAACCGAGGAACUGCCGUCCAAACUGCUUAGCUUGAGACCGGGAGAGGUGAGUGGAAUUCCCAGUGUAGCGGUGAAAUGCGUAGAUAUUGGGAGGAACACCAGUGGCGAAGGCGGCUCACUGGACCGGAACUGACGCUGAUGCGCGAAAGCGUGGGGAGCAAACGGG
This 253-nucleotide ribosomal RNA is filed under the name uncultured bacterium. Its description in RNAcentral is "partial 16S ribosomal RNA". It matches the Rfam family "Bacterial small subunit ribosomal RNA", at positions 524 to 776 of the family's 1533-position model. The record is from RNAcentral.